AGCAGCUCACUGGGUGUAAAGCGUGCGCAGGCGGUUUUGUAAGACAGAGGUGAAAUCCCCGGGCUCAACCUGGGAACUGCCUUUGUGACUGCAAGGCUGGAGUGCGGCAGAGGGGAUGGAAUUCCGCGUGUAGCAGUGAAAUGCGUAGAUAUGCGGAGGAACACCGAUGGCGAAGGCAAUCCCCUGGGCCUGCACUGACGCUCAUGCACGAAAGCGUGGGGAGCAAACA
This 229-nucleotide ribosomal RNA is filed under the name uncultured Alicycliphilus sp. Its description in RNAcentral is "partial 16S ribosomal RNA". It matches the Rfam family "Bacterial small subunit ribosomal RNA", at positions 551 to 774 of the family's 1533-position model. The record is from RNAcentral. Lineage: Bacteria; Pseudomonadati; Pseudomonadota; Betaproteobacteria; Burkholderiales; Comamonadaceae.